This 1386-nucleotide ribosomal RNA is filed under the name Triticum aestivum (bread wheat). RNAcentral describes it as "partial small subunit ribosomal RNA". The record is from RNAcentral. Lineage: Eukaryota; Viridiplantae; Streptophyta; Magnoliopsida; Poales; Poaceae.
AUGAAUGAAAGCCUUUCCAUCCUAAAUUAGAAUGUUCGUGGUCUUAACUGUCCGAAUCGUCGCACUACCGUUCAUGAGACAAUCGCUGCUACCUUUUGCAACCUUGUUUGCCUCCAGAAAAUGAAAUUGGCAGCGGUUGAUCCUUCCUUGGCUGCUUUUUUGGGUGGCCAACGACUGAAAAACUAUGCUGAGCGGCCAGCGGAUGGAACCAGAGGAGGCAUCCUCCUUCUCUGGAACGAAGACUUCAUUAAGGUGGAUAAUAUUUCCUUGGGCACCUUUAGCAUCUCUGCUACCAUCACUAUUGUCAGCACUCUUGUUUCCUUAAAACUCACUUCGCUUUAUGGUCCUAUUAGAAGCAACCUUAAAGAUUUUUUCCAAGAGCUUGUCAGCCUUAAACCGCAACAGGGUACGCGAUGGCUGGUUGCGGGCGACUUCAAUCAAAUCUACCGCGCGUGAGACAAAAACUGCGCAAACCUAGAUCGCUCUCGUCUUGUGUGCUUUCGAAAUGCCCUCAACUCCUGUGAGCUGAAAGAGAUCCACCUCCAGAACAGGAAGAUUACUUGGAGCAAUGAGCAAGCUAACUCGACCAUGAGCAAGUUAGAUUCUUUCUUCUGCAAUGACGACUGGGACGUUGAGUUUGGCUCUCACAUCCUUCGUGCUCUCUCAUCCUCGCUCUCGGAUCACUGCCCACUGCUUUUGGCUAGCGACAAGGGACCAAGACGACCCAAAAAUUUUUGAUUUGAAAAUUUCUGGACGAAGUAGUCCAACUUCAAGAGAAUUGUCCAAGAUGCAUGGAGCAACGGAACAAGCCACUCCGAGCCCUAUCAAGUGCUCUUUCACAAGCUGAAAAGAACAAGUCAGUGCCUCAGGUGGUGGAGCAAAUCCAUCUUCUCGAAUCACAAAGUGCAUCUCCACAUGGCCCUCGAGAUCACCUUCCGCCUCGACGUGGCUCAAGAGACCAGGACACUCAGCUUGGCUGAAUGGAAUCUGAGGAAGGACCUCAAAAAGAAGGUGGUGCCCUUGGCGGUUCUUAAGCGAACCAGGAAAAGACAAAGUUCGAGAGUUAAGCUACUCAAAGAGGGGGAUGCGAAUACCCGUUUCUUUCACCUCUGUAUCAACCACCGCCGAAGGAAAAACUUCAUUCACCGCCUUAAGCACAACAACGGUUGGGUCACCAGUCAUGAUCACGAGAAGGAUAUUAUCCAGAGCCACUUUUCAAAAGCCAUUGGGAAGGGCCUCACGCGCUCCAGGGACUUCAAUUGGGGCUGCAUCCCGCCGUCGACUUGUGACCUCUCCGACCUGGGUGCCCUUUUCACUGAGGAGGAGGUCCGGGCUGCGAUCAACGAACUUCCUGGGGACAAAGCUCCGGGCCGUGACGGUUUGUGA